Molecule: ribosomal RNA, 441 nt
Filed under: uncultured bacterium
Lineage: Bacteria
Description: bacterial SSU rRNA
Rfam family: Bacterial small subunit ribosomal RNA
Source: RNAcentral
UGAACGCUGGCGGUAUGCCUAACACAUGCAAGUCGUACGAGAGUUUUUAACUCAAGUGGCGGACGGGUGAGUAACACGUGAGAAUCUGCCUUUAGGAGGGGGACAACAACUGGAAACGGUUGCUAAUACCCCAUAUGCUUUCGAGUGAAAUGGAUUUAUAUUUAUCCGCCUAGAGAGAAGCUCGCGGCUGAUUAGCUUGUUGGUAAGGUAAGAGCUUACCAAGGCGACGAUCAGUAUCUGGUUUGAGAGGACGAUCAGACACACUGGAACUGAGACACGGUCCAGACUCCUACGGGAGGCAGCAGUGGGGAAUUUUCCGCAAUGGGCGAAAGCCUGACGGAGCAAUACCGCGUGAGGGAAGACGGCCUAUGGGUUGUAAACCUCUUUUCUCAGGGAGGAAUUCAAUGACGUGUACCUGAGGAAUAAGCAUCGGCUAACUCC